CCAAUAGCGUAUAUUAAAGUUGUUGCAGUUAAAAAGCUCGUAGUUGAAUUUUAGGCCUGACCGGACGGUCCGUCUCUGGCGAGUACUGUUCUGUUGUCGGGUCUAUCCUUCGGGUGAGCCGGUAUGCCCUUUAUUGGGUGUGUCGGGGAACCAGGACCAUUCCCUGGAAAAAAUUAGAGUGUUUAAAGCGGGCUUUUGCUUGAAUAGUUUAGCAUGGAAUAAUAGAAUAGGACGUUGGUUCUAUUUUGUUGGUCUAGGACCACCGUAAUGAUUAAUAGGGAUAGUUGGGGGCAUUAGUAUUCAAUUGUCAGAGGUGAAAUUCUUGGAUUUAUUGAAGACUAACUACUGCGAAAGCAUUUGCCAAGGAUGUUUUCAUUAAUCAAGAACGAAAGUUAGGGGAUCGAAGACGAUCAGAUACCGUCGUAGUCUUAACCAUAAACUAUGCCGACUAGGAAUCGGGCGACGUUAUUUUCAUGACUCGCUCGGCGCCUUAUG
RNAcentral lists this ribosomal RNA (495 nucleotides) under uncultured Glomeromycotina. RNAcentral's name for it is "partial small subunit ribosomal RNA". It matches the Rfam family "Eukaryotic small subunit ribosomal RNA", at positions 591 to 1092 of the family's 1831-position model. The record is from RNAcentral. Lineage: Eukaryota; Fungi; Glomeromycota.